GUCAGAAUGGCCAAGGGGUCUAAGGUGCCAGGCUCAAGUUCUGGUUUCCUCAUGCAGGUGUGGGUUCAAAUCCUACUUCUGACA
This 84-nucleotide transfer RNA is filed under the name Scleropages formosus (Asian bonytongue). RNAcentral describes it as "tRNA-Leu". It matches the Rfam family "tRNA". From Rfam's summary of the family: Transfer RNA (tRNA) molecules are approximately 80 nucleotides in length. Their secondary structure includes four short double-helical elements and three loops (D, anti-codon, and T loops). Lineage: Eukaryota; Metazoa; Chordata; Actinopteri; Osteoglossiformes; Osteoglossidae. The record is from RNAcentral.